This 468-nucleotide ribosomal RNA is filed under the name uncultured bacterium. RNAcentral describes it as "partial 16S ribosomal RNA". It matches the Rfam family "Bacterial small subunit ribosomal RNA", at positions 28 to 507 of the family's 1533-position model. The record is from RNAcentral.
GACGAACGCUGGCGGCGUGCUUAACACAUGCAAGUCGAACGGAAAGGCCCUGCUUUUGUGGGGUGCUCGAGUGGCGAACGGGUGAGUAACACGUGAGUAACCUGCCCUUGACUUUGGGAUAACUUCAGGAAACUGGGGCUAAUACCGGAUAGGAGCUCCUGCUGCAUGGUGGGGGUUGGAAAGUUUCGGCGGUUGGGGAUGGACUCGCGGCUUAUCAGCUUGUUGGUGGGGUAGUGGCUUACCAAGGCUUUGACGGGUAGCCGGCCUGGGAGGGUGACCGGCCAACUGGGGACUGAGAUACGGACCAGACUCCUACGGGAGGCAGCAGUGGGGAAUAUUGCCCAAUGGGCGGAAGCCUGAUGCAGCAACGCCGCGUGCGGGAUGACGGCCUUCGGGUUGUAAACAGCUUUCGCCUGUGACGAAGCGGGAGUGACGGUAAUGGGUAAAGAAGCACCGGCUAACUACGUG